UCCUACGGGACGCAGCAGUGGGGGAUAUUGCACAAUGGGGGAAACCCUGAUGCAGCGACGCCGCGUGUGGGAAGACGGUCCUCUGGAUUGUAAACCACUGUCCCCAGGGACGAAAAUGACGGUACCUGGGGAGGAAGCUCCGGCUAACUACGUGCCAGCAGCCGCGGUAAUACGUAGGGAGCGAGCGUUGUCCGGAAUUACUGGGUGUAAAGGGAGCGUAGGCGGGGAUGCAAGUUGGGUGUGAAAAGUACCGGUUGAACUGGUAGUGGGAGUAA
RNAcentral lists this ribosomal RNA (275 nucleotides) under uncultured bacterium. RNAcentral describes it as "partial 16S ribosomal RNA". It matches the Rfam family "Bacterial small subunit ribosomal RNA", at positions 337 to 629 of the family's 1533-position model. The record is from RNAcentral.